This is a long non-coding RNA of Olea europaea var. sylvestris, 410 nucleotides long. RefSeq lists it as uncharacterized. The transcript has 3 exons. Lineage: Eukaryota; Viridiplantae; Streptophyta; Magnoliopsida; Lamiales; Oleaceae. The record is from RefSeq and is a predicted model, not a curated record.
CCGGGAUGAGUUCUUGACUCGGACUUCUCCGACGAGCACUCUCCGGUAGACUAUGUUCUUACUUUUGCAAUACACAAUACAUCCUAAAUUUUCAUAUUCUACUUUCAAAAAAGAAAUUUCAUAAUCAUUUCUCAAAAUCAAGAUUUAUUUUCCUCUCCUCCUUGAUUUUGAGACAUCUUUCAUUUUCAUUCAAGAUGACAAUCCUCAUUGAUCAGCCUAAGCUUGAUGGUGAAGUCAAUGAGAAGAAGAUCCCUAACAGUGAAGAAAUGGAUUUGGUGUUGGAUGGAGGAUUUGUAGUCCCCAAUGCCACUGCUUUUGGCCACAACUUUAGGGAUUUUAGUGCUAAAGUGAAGGCAAGAAGGGGUAGAAAACUUCUACAAGACUAAUCACAUGUCAAACUUAUGACUUUG